Long non-coding RNA from Plodia interpunctella (Indianmeal moth), 712 nucleotides. RefSeq lists it as uncharacterized. The transcript has 2 exons. The record is from RefSeq and is a predicted model, not a curated record. Lineage: Eukaryota; Metazoa; Arthropoda; Insecta; Lepidoptera; Pyralidae.
CCUACGAUAAUGCUCGCUAGCUCUUGGUCUUUGUUGAAACUUUGCAACCACAAACUGAAGUUGGUUUAAAAACAAAGGUCUCUAGCGGAAACAGUACAGUCUACUGUUUGCCUUGUCGCAAAAUCAGUACUUUGGUGUCCAAGCCACAAACGAAGCUCCGCAGACGCGGCGCAGCAUUCGCUGACGACAACAACGUGCCCGAUCUGCUAUUGAUACUUUAUUGAUAGUAUCACAUAUUUAUUUCCGCGGGACUUGUUUCAUGGUGCGGACGUUCCUAGCGUCCUAGGUGAGCGACUGAAAGCUAACGCGACGCGAUGAGACACUAUGCAUGUUUAUGUGAUUGCGGCGACACAAAUUUCAUCCAUACAAUUGUUAUAAAUUAAAUACUAAUUAUAAAAUGAAAUCAUGGGAAUCAAAAUUCUUAUUAGUUCUGUGUUUUUGUUUACUAACUACAUCUGUAAGUUCACAGUUUCUCGAUGGUCCAUGGGUAGUUCAUGAGACUCCACUAUACAUAAAGAGAGCUCUCAGAGCGAAGGACAACUACAAGAUACCCCCAAAGGCUAAGAAAAGGAUGUACAACAACCUGUCCAUAAAGGAAGUUAUGGAAAAAAUUAAAUAUAUCACCAAGUACAUGAAUAUGUAUGCAAAGAAAAACGGAUUCAAAGUAGACUAUACUUUUAGGCUUACCUAAUAAAAACUAUAAUAAAUCUAA